UUUAAUUCGAUGAUACGCGAGGAACCUUACCUGGGCUAGAAUGCUGGUGGAUCGUGGGUGAAAGCUCACUUUGUAGCAAUACACCGCCAGUAAGGUGCUGCAUGGCUGUCGUCAGCUCGUGCCGUGAGGUGUUGGGUUAAGUCCCGCAACGAGCGCAACCCCCAUCACUAGUUGCCAUCAGGUAACGCUGGGAACUCUAGUGAAACUGCCGUCGUAAGACGUGAGGAAGGAGGGGAUGAUGUCAAGUCAUCAUGGCCCUUACGUCCAGGGCAACACACGUGCUACAAUGGGCGGUACAGAGGGUUGCUACACAGCGAUGUGAUGCCAAUCCCAAAAAGCCGUUCUCGGUUCGGAUUGGAGUCUGCAACUCGACUCUAUGAAGCUGGAAUCGCUAGUAAUCGCGUAUCAGCUAUGACG
This 417-nucleotide ribosomal RNA is filed under the name uncultured Terrimonas sp. RNAcentral's name for it is "bacterial SSU rRNA". It matches the Rfam family "Bacterial small subunit ribosomal RNA", at positions 945 to 1359 of the family's 1533-position model. Lineage: Bacteria; Pseudomonadati; Bacteroidota; Chitinophagia; Chitinophagales; Chitinophagaceae. The record is from RNAcentral.